UACGUAGGGGCAAGCGGUUGUCCGGAAUUAUUGGGCGUAAAGAGCGCGUAGGCGGUCCGAUAAGUCGGCUGUGAAAGUCAGGGGCUCAACCCUUGAAAGCCGGCCGAUACUGUCGGACUAGAGUCCGGAAGAGGCAAGUGGAAUUCCCGGUGUAGCGGUGAAAUGGCGCAGAUAUCAGGAGGAACACCGGUGGCGAAGGCGGGUCUCUGGGCCGUAACUGACGCUGAGGAGCGAAGCAUGGGAGCGAACAGGA
This 253-nucleotide ribosomal RNA is filed under the name uncultured bacterium. RNAcentral's name for it is "partial 16S ribosomal RNA". It matches the Rfam family "Bacterial small subunit ribosomal RNA", at positions 524 to 777 of the family's 1533-position model. The record is from RNAcentral.